GACGAACGCUGGCGGCGUGCUUAACACAUGCAAGUCGAACGGAAAGGCCCUGCUUUUGUGGGGUGCUCGAGUGGCGAACGGGUGAGUAACACGUGAGUAACCUGCCCUUGACUUUGGGAUAACUUCAGGAAACUGGGGCUAAUACCGGAUAGGAGCUCCUGCUGCAUGGUGGGGGUUGGAAAGUUUCGGCGGUUGGGGAUGGACUCGCGGCUUAUCAGCUUGUUGGUGGGGUAGUGGCUUACCAAGGCUUUGACGGGUAGCCGGCCUGAGAGGGUGACCGGCCACAUGGGGACGGAGAUACGGCCCAGACUCCGAGGGGGGGCAGCAGUGGGGAAUAUGGCACAAGGGGGGGAGGCCUGAGGGAGCAACGCCGGGGGCGGGAUGACGGCUUUCGGGUUGAAAACCGCUUUCGCCUGGGACGAAGCGGGAGGGACGGUAAUGGGAAAAGAAGCACCGGCAAACUACGU
RNAcentral lists this ribosomal RNA (467 nucleotides) under uncultured bacterium. Its description in RNAcentral is "partial 16S ribosomal RNA". It matches the Rfam family "Bacterial small subunit ribosomal RNA", at positions 28 to 506 of the family's 1533-position model. The record is from RNAcentral.